AAAAACAGAUGAAGCGUAGAAGGAUGGAAAAGUGAGUUUGGGUUUUUUUCUAUGGCCAACUUUACUCCAGAUCCCUAGGAGAAACCUGAACAUGAUCACGACCCCAAAUGACACGAGAAGGGCUCCAUAUUUGAAGGAUAUUAUCAUCGGCAAGACUUCCAACCACCCAACGCUCGUUUGGACACCAACUAAAUUCUGAGAUGCGAUUUGUGUGGCCUCCAUGCAUAAAUAGUAAUUCUGGAGAACCAUCCUCGGCAUCCUCCGGAGUCUGUUCCUCUCCAAUCUUUUCUAAAUCCCAAAUACAAACACGGCGAUCAGUUGAACUGGAUGCCAAUAUAGGUUCAUCAUGAGGUGACCAUUCUAACCCAUAUACCUCAUCUUCGUGUCCUUCCAGGGUAUGCAACCGUUGAUAUGGAUUACGGAGGUCCCAAAGAGCUACUGUUUUAUCAGCACUGGCUGUUGCUAAAAGAUAGUCAUUAAAGGGAUUAAUGGCAACGGCAUUUAUGGCUUUAGAAUGAGCCUGAAUAACUUUGGGAGCUUCUUCUUCUGGAUUUAACCGAGUAUCGUGAAUUUGCAAAGUGCAAUCAUCCGACACCGAUGCUAAUAAUGCCUCAUGUUGAGGAUGAAAUUGAACAUCGUUAACAAUAUCAGUAUGACGAUGAUAUUUGGCUAUGGGGGAAAUGACUUUUGUCUCAGAGGAAGUAAAAGAUUGUGUCUGAACAUCCCAUAAACAGAUAACUUGAUCCUCUGCUCCUGUUGCUAGAUUUCCAGGUAAAUUCGGGUUCCAGCAAAGACCAAAACCUUCAGCAGUAUGGCCCUUCAAAACUGCUUGAGGAAGUGCUUCACCUGUAGUUAAGGCAUCAUGACAAGUUGUAUCAAAAAUAUAAGCAUUUCCUCCUUCUCCCAUGGUAGCGAUGAUUUCAGGCUUUUGAGGCAUGUAACGAGCACGAUUGACAUCGCCAUCGUGAGGGAUUUUUUGUGAAAUUUCAAUCGUAUACGAGCCCGUGGCCUGUGCUCUUCGAAUCGUAGAAGGAGUAAACUCGGUGGUAUCCUCAUCAAAGUUUGGUAAUUGCACAGAAGCAAUCUGUAAAUAAUUUUGAUCAUUACCAGAUGUGUGAGUGCCAAGAAUAAGACGUUGAAUAGAGUAAUCAGUACCUGGUAUUCUUCAAGAAUCGAGUU
Non-coding RNA from Schizosaccharomyces pombe (fission yeast), 1179 nucleotides. The record is from the annotation of a GenBank genome assembly. NCBI's taxonomy places the organism in Eukaryota, Fungi, Ascomycota, Schizosaccharomycetes, Schizosaccharomycetales, Schizosaccharomycetaceae.